ACGAGGCGGAGGACUGAGGAGGAAGAGAGAAAGACGGAGAGGAGUUGAGAAGGAGGUAGACUUCGGGUGCGAACGGUCUACUCUAACGCAGUAAUGCCGACCAGCUCCAACCGGGUGCCGCCAAAUCGAACCCUGGUUCGAAUUCCGCACGGCCGUGGCCGCGGAAAGAAACAAAAGAAGGAGGAAGAGGAGGAGGAGGAGGAGGAGGACGAGGAGGAGGACAGGAAGAGGAGGAGAGGAUAACGAUAACGAAGACAACGGCAACGACGACGACGACGACGACGACGGGGAACGUGAAUAAAAAGAAGUCACGACAGUGGAAGAGGAAGAAGAAGAAAAAGGAAGUAGCAGUGCAUAGUUACGUAUGCCCAUUACGGAGGACAAACAAAACGGAAGUUUCAGCUCCAUUUCAAACAAUACAGCGAUGUAAAUAUAAUAGGAACAGAAAUAAUCAUCUUCAAUAAUCAGGUCAAAGAAUGUGCAGAAUUCAUAGAAGAAAAACGCUACAAAAUUUAAGAAGUCGACUAAUCAUUGAAAUUACAUACUUCGAUCUCCGCAACCGUUUCGAGCCUUUCCUUCAAACUCCGAAGCAUUUUUCAAGGACCAACGAAUCUUCAAGUAACAGAGGCAUUACGCAUCAUCAUAUAUAGAUAAUCGCUUCACACACUGCGAGACAUUACGUAUCGCAACUGCUCAUCGUUCUCGCGAGAACAACUUUUCCGCGACUACACGGACGCGUCCCACCGGAUAGGAAAGAGACUAGAUACUGUGAUAGAAGCUAGAAGUUCAAGCUGCAACUUUAAGUCCCUCGUGAAUAAUCGCUGGCGAUUUCCUAGGGGCGAAAAUCUCUACAUUCAUAACGGUGCGCGGUAUUCAACCGAUGACUGCCACAGCCGGCCGAAAGAUUGCAGAAAAUCCACCCGAGCGACGAGAUAAAUUCCCUCGCGUGUACCUCGUGGACGUGCAAAACAAAUUUAAAAAAGAAAGAAGAAUAGAACGAACGAGUAAGAGAAAGAGGGAGAAGUAAAAGAAAAACACAAGAACGGGCGCUUAAAAGUAAGAGAGGUGGUCGCCUGAGCACGCUGAUAAACGCUGAAUAAUGGGGACGCAAAUUACGUGCGAGGAAUACUGCGUGAGAAAUGAGUGCCCGAUGCAAAUUCCGCUGGCCGCUAGGACGAUGCAGCGACCGGUGCUGCCGGAUACUGUAACUCCAUUUAAACGAUUCACUACGACCACGUGGACCGAGGAUAGGCUCACGAAACGAACCGGCAGUCCAUCGUCGUCUCCGUGACGAUCUGAGAGAGGAUGUACGUAAUCCCCGGAGGAAUUAACCAAUUAGUACUGGCAGUAGAGGAUUUGCGCUAAGUUAAUACAACGACGAGUGUCAACACAACGGAGAUCGUAGAUAGAUUACGUUACUCGCCAGCAACGAUAGCUCUCGACUCCGUUCUCGCAAUAUGGACCAAGGUACGUAAUCCGCAGGAUACUACAACGCGUUAUAGCCUUCAUGAAGCAUACGCGAAAUUUUCGACGGAUUACUCCUCGACAACUCAAUGGCUUUUAACCUUGGUUUCACGAUGCAACAGCGUGGCGAUAUUAAGUCUGUAUAGACUACAUGAUAUCACGAGUCAGUGUACAAACUUUGCAGUACUACAAACCAGCAUGCACAGUCUUCACAAUAGGGAGUGACUCGGCAAGUAGAGUACCUGUUCGGUCCCUCCGGCAUCAAUUACACUUCGCUUCCCGGAUUUGUUCCCGGGAUUGACGCAGGCAGACUCCUCGCCGACGAAGUGACUGUGCGAUUAU
This is a long non-coding RNA of Cyphomyrmex costatus, 1806 nucleotides long. RefSeq lists it as uncharacterized. The transcript is spliced from 3 exons. NCBI's taxonomy places the organism in Eukaryota, Metazoa, Arthropoda, Insecta, Hymenoptera, Formicidae. The record is from RefSeq and is a predicted model, not a curated record.